This 460-nucleotide ribosomal RNA is filed under the name uncultured bacterium. Its description in RNAcentral is "bacterial SSU rRNA". It matches the Rfam family "Bacterial small subunit ribosomal RNA", at positions 29 to 534 of the family's 1533-position model. The record is from RNAcentral.
AACGAACGCUGGCGGCAUGCCUAACACAUGCAAGUCGAACGAGACCUUCGGGUCUAGUGGCGCACGGGUGCGUAACGCGUGGGAACCUGCCUUUAGGUUCGGAAUAACUCAGAGAAAUUUGAGCUAAUACCGGAUAAUGUCUUCGGACCAAAGAUUUAUCGCCUUUAGAUGGGCCCGCGUUGGAUUAGCUAGUUGGUGGGGUAAAGGCCUACCAAGGCGACGAUCCAUAGCUGGUCUGAGAGGAUGAUCAGCCACACUGGGACUGAGACACGGCCCAGACUCCUACGGGAGGCAGCAGUGGGGAAUAUUGGACAAUGGGCGAAAGCCUGAUCCAGCAAUGCCGCGUGAGUGAUGAAGGCCUAGGGUUGGUAAAGCUCUUUACCCGUAGAUGAUAAUGACAGUAUCGGGAGAAUAAGCUCCGGCUAACUCCGUGCCAGCAGCCGCGGUAAAGUGACUACUG